UGAAGUUAUAUUCAUCCCUCCUCUGAUCCUCUAGGUUCUAAUGUCACUGGCUUCAAACUGGUGCUGAUUGGACAUGGGCAGAGGUGUUAUGGUUUGAACAUCCUGAUAUUUUUUUGCUGGAUGUAGCAGUGAUCCUCUUAGUCUAUGCAUGGGAAGCUUUGAACUAUGGCUCUGUUGUGGUGAUAGAGCACUGGCAGAACUGACAAGUGCUUUAUACAUGAACAUGCUACGAGGACAACCUUUUGAAAAGGGUACCUUGGGACAAUGCCCCUUGUUAGAGGAGUCACUGCUCAAACUGCCUUAUCACUUCUGACUUCUAUGCUUGCUUCUCUCUGACAUAAUAUGCCCUGUGACACCACAUUAUGAAAUGCAAUGACUAAGGUAAUACUUUAUACAUAAUACUCUAAAAAGUACUCUAAAUACAGUUAGUCACUGUUUCUGAAAUUUAGAAGGUGGCUGCAGAUAAGGUUUAAUCUUUACUAAAGGGAAUUCGUGAUAUGAGCCUAAUCCUUGAAGUAUAAACUUCAUAGACGCACAAUGUGGUACUUUCUUAAUAGCAGUGAUUUCUGUUAUUUCUUUCUAAAGUAGCUUUGUCUGGGGAAAAAUAUAUCCAUACUUUUUUUUCAGUCUAAUUUUGGACAGUUAAUCUUUUCUACUUUUUCAGCUAGAUGUUUACUCAACCAACAACGUGUUGAACUUGUUGAGAAUCAGGGGAAAGGAACCUAAACUACAAUAGAGAUGAUGCACUGUGGAUGUUAAUGUGAAACAUUGCUAGACUUGAAACCAGAAAGUAAAUGUGUGAGAUGGUGCAGAGAAAGGUCUUCUGACACCUGACAACUGGAAACAGUUGUGCCCUCAGGCACUGGUGCUGCUAAGUACACAAGGUUGUUGCUUUGUUGUAUUCUCGCAGUGCCUUAAAAAGAUUUCAGAUGAAAACAGCCAGGAUCAAAUGCAAAAUCACCAGGUCCAAUAGUGAUAUUUAUCUGCUAUAACUAUUAAAGCAUUAGCAUAUGGAACAUUUAUCCUUAAAUGAACAUAUUGUAAUUGUGAUUCAGAGUAGUAAUAUAUAUGUUUAGUAACCAAUUAUACAGAGAUUAUAUGUAAAUUACAGAAACUUUUCUAGAGGCAGCAGUUGCAAGAAUGAAAGACAGUAUUUAGCCUCUGGGAUCAGAAAUGGAUAAACUGAGCAAAGAUACAAAAGCAGAUGACAGAUCUUUAGGAUCUUAGAAAGUAGCUGCUUCAGGCUU
This is a long non-coding RNA of Phasianus colchicus (ring-necked pheasant), 1247 nucleotides long. NCBI's taxonomy places the organism in Eukaryota, Metazoa, Chordata, Aves, Galliformes, Phasianidae. The record is from Ensembl.